This 253-nucleotide ribosomal RNA is filed under the name uncultured bacterium. RNAcentral describes it as "partial 16S ribosomal RNA". It matches the Rfam family "Bacterial small subunit ribosomal RNA", at positions 524 to 776 of the family's 1533-position model. The record is from RNAcentral.
UACGUAGGGGGCAGGCGUUGUUCGGAAUCACUGGGUGUAAAGGGAGCGUAGGCGGAAGGAUAAGUUAGGAGUUUAAUGUACGGGCUUAACUCGUAAUCUGCUUCUAAUACUGUUUUUCUUGAGUAUGGGAGAGGGAGAUUGAAUUCCAGGUGUAGCGGUGGAAUGCGUAGAUAUCUGGAAGAACACCAGCUGCGAAGGCGGUCUCCUGGCCCAAUACUGACGCUGAGGCUCGAAAGCUAGGGGAGCAAACAGG